AGAGGAUGAUCAGCCACACUGGAACUGAGACACGGUCCAGACUCCUACGGGAGGCAGCAGUGGGGAAUAUUGCACAAUGGGCGCAAGCCUGAUGCAGCCAUGCCGCGUGUAUGAAGAAGGCCUUCGGGUUGUAAAGUACUUUCAGUCGUGAGGAAGGCAGUAUAGUUAAUAGCUGUAUUGUUUGACGUUAGCGACAGAAGAAGCACCGGCUAACUCCGUGCCAGCAGCCGCGGUAAUACGGAGGGUGCGAGCGUUAAUCGGAAUUACUGGGCGUAAAGCGCAUGCAGGUGGUUUGUUAAGUCAGAUGUGAAAGCCCGGGGCUCAACCUCGGAACCGCAUUUGAAACUGGCAGGCUAGAGUACUGUAGAGGGGGGUAGAAUUUCAGGUGUAGCGGUGAAAUGCGUAGAGAUCUGAAGGAAUACCAGUGGCGAAGGCGGCCCCCUGGACAGAUACUGACACUCAGAUGCGAAAGCGUGGGGAGCAAACAGGAUUAGAUACCCUGGUAGUCCACGCCGUAAACGAUGUCUACUUGGAGGUUGUGGCCUUGAGCCGUGGCUUUCGGAGCUAACGCGUUAAGUAGACCGCCUGGGGAGUACGGUCGCAAGAUUAAAACUCAAAUGAAUUGACGGGGGCCCGCACAAGCGGUGGAGCAUGUGGUUUAAUUCGAUGCAACGCGAAGAACCUUACCUACUCUUGACAUCCAGAGAACUUUCCAGAGAUGGAUUGGUGCCUUCGGGAACUCUGAGACAGGUGCUGCAUGGCUGUCGUCAGCUCGUGUUGUGAAAUGUUGGGUUAAGUCCCGCAACGAGCGCAACCCUUAUCCUUGUUUGCCAGCACGUAAUGGUGGGAACUCCAGGGAGACUGCCGGUGAUAAACCGGAGGAAGGUGGGGACGACGUCAAGUCAUCAUGGCCCUUACGAGUAGGGCUACACACGUGCUACAAUGGCGCAUACAGAGGGCAGCCAACCAGCGAUGGUGAGCGAAUCCCAAAAAGUGCGUCGUAGUCCGGAUUGGAGUCUGCAACUCGACUCCAUGAAGUCGGAAUCGCUAGUAAUCGUAGAUCAGAAUGCUACGGUGAAUACGUUCCCGGGCCUUGUACACACCGCCCGUCACACCAUGGGAGUGGGCUGCAAAAGAAGUGGGUAGUUUAACCUUCGGGAGGACGCUCACCACUUUGUGGUUCAUGACUGGGGUGAAGUCGUAACAAGGUAGCCCUAGGGGAACCUGGGGCUGGAUCACCU
RNAcentral lists this ribosomal RNA (1241 nucleotides) under uncultured bacterium. Its description in RNAcentral is "bacterial SSU rRNA". It matches the Rfam family "Bacterial small subunit ribosomal RNA", at positions 295 to 1528 of the family's 1533-position model. The record is from RNAcentral.